AUGGCCGGACCUGAGUGUGUCUCAGCCUCAACAGUAGAUUAAGUUCCACAUCCUUCCUCAUUUACCCCAAGAAAUCAACCUGAAGCAGCCCCUGCCAGCUAACCCUCUAGAGAUCAAGUGGAACCUGGAAGGAUGAGCGAGGUUGCACCCUGCUGGAGAAACCAUACUAAGGUGCCCAAGUCCAGAGACCACCCCCACCAAGGGCCAACCCUGGAAGAGCCAAGACUCUCCCAGACAACCAUAGUGCAGAGAUUGAAAGAGAACUGGAAGACCAGCCCUUGGUCUCAGAAACCAUUAAAGGUAUACCAGUGCAUCACAAGGUGACAUCACCAUCCUGAGAC
Molecule: long non-coding RNA, 341 nt
Organism: Apodemus sylvaticus (European woodmouse)
Lineage: Eukaryota; Metazoa; Chordata; Mammalia; Rodentia; Muridae
Exons: 3
Source: RefSeq, a predicted model, not a curated record